GACCAGAUUAGAUGGAGAGGAGGGAUGAGGUAGCGGUGGCGGUUUAAAGAGGAGGAGGAGGAUUUAUUGGAAGAAGAGGAGGUAGUGGGAGUGGAUUGGGCUCAAGAUAGAACUAGGUUAGAGAGGAAUGGAAAGGAGGGAUGAGAUGAUGAUGGGGUUUAGAGAGAUUGAGGAGGAGGUAGUGGUGGGAAUUUAAAAAAAUGAGAAGAGAAAGAGAGCAUUUUUUUGAUAAUAAGCCAUUCUAGUAAGAAAAAAAUUGUUCGAAUAGUGUUGGAUGUUGCAUGUGUCAUAGGAUCAUAUUGAUCCACUCAACUAAUUUUAAAGAUUAUUUUAGAAUUUUUAAACUUGAGAGGUACUAAAGAAAACUGAUCCUAAGUUGAGAAGUUGUCUAAAUAAUUUUUUCAGUCAUUUAAUUUUGAAAAAAUUACACUGACACCUCCUCAACUUUAGGCCAAUCUCAAAAAUACCCGCUCAACUUUAAAAAGUUUCAAAUAUAUCCCUAAAGUUUGCAAACUGUUUCAAACUGGUCUUGCCAUUCAUCUAUAUUAAUAUAACUACCACAUAGUAGCAUAUAAUAUAAUGACUAAAGUAUCCUUCGUAUCAUAAAAGGAUCCACUAUUUGAUCAGACAUUGCAUAGUGGUGUUAGGAAUCACAUUCCUUUGUGCAAAUCCACUAUGGAAUCAUCCAUCGCACAGAUCUCAAAAGUGCUCCAAAUUUCUUUAUUCAUACAUAUGCACAAAUCUCAAAGUGCACAGUGCAUGACUUAGAUCAUCCAUUUACUUGCACAGAUCUCAAAGUGACUAGUGGAUGAUCUAGAAUAUUCAUCAAUUCGCACAAAUCUCAAAGCAACCAAUGGAUGAUUCAGAAUAUUCAUCCUUCUACAUAGAUCUCAAAGUGAGCAGCGGAUGAUUAGGAUUAUUCAGUCGCUUGCACAGAUCUCAAAGCCUAAAUUAUUCAUUCAUCCGCACAAAUCCCAAAGUUGGGUGGAUGACCUAGAUUUGUGUGAACAGGGAGAUGGGGGAGGUCCUCCUCCACCCGAAUCGCCGUUGGAGCUGCCCCCUCGCUUGAUGGAAGGUUCUAGCUGUUCGAGAUCACAACAUGUCAACAAAGGCUGGUUGGGGGCGGGGGAGGUGCUGUGGAUGGUUCAAGCCUGAGAGAUCAGGAUUUGGUGGGUAAGAAUGGAUUAAGGCAGCGAGAAGUCGAAAUUAGACCGCACUGGAGAUCAUUGAUGUAGAAUUCGAAGCUGAAGAUUAAGAGAUUACAGAAAAUUGGAGGAAAAUUAGGGUUUGGGCAAGUGGGGAGCCUUGGUCUUUGGGAAGAAGAGAGGGAUUCACCAUAAAUGGGGAAGUGGUGCGUCGAUGCUAUUAGUGCUGCCGCGAGAGGCUCACCAGUGCAAUCAUGUGUUCUCUCCACCGAUUGUUGGCAAUGUGGAGAAAGAGGUGAUUCGAGAGGAAAAAGGGGAUGAUGCUUGCACAGAUGUCAAAGCAACCACUAAUGAUCGAGAUAUUCAUCUCAAAGAAACCAUGGAUGAUCCAGAUAUUCAUUCGUCUGCACAGAUUUCAAAACAACCAGAUCCAAAUAUUCAUUCACAUGCAUAGAUGUUAAACUGAUUAGUGGACAAUUAGGAUUACUCAUCCAUUACAUAAACUCAAAGCAAUCUAGAUAUUCAUCUGCAUGC
This 1679-nucleotide long non-coding RNA is filed under the name Phoenix dactylifera (date palm). Its description in RNAcentral is "long non-coding RNA (PDAC_LNC003377)". Lineage: Eukaryota; Viridiplantae; Streptophyta; Magnoliopsida; Arecales; Arecaceae. The record is from RNAcentral.